Thamnophis sirtalis is the source of this 249-nucleotide non-coding RNA. NCBI's taxonomy places the organism in Eukaryota, Metazoa, Chordata, Lepidosauria, Squamata, Natricidae. The record is from RefSeq and is a predicted model, not a curated record.
UGCAAAUUUCUACUCUUUUGGGUACAGAAGUGUAAUUAUCUUUCCAGGGGCCAUGUUCUUAUAAUAAAGAAGAAAAAUCUGUAAAAGUGGAAGUAAAUUCAAUUCCUCAGAACAAGAAAAUAGUAUUAGCUGAGAAUAAGAAAUUUGCUUUGCAUGUGAAGACAGAAGACUGUAAGACCAAUCUUGACCUCCGCUUGGGAUAUGACCUUUGCUCACAAGAGCAAGAUUUUUUACACAAAAGAAAGAGCA